CGGCCGCAGAGUUUGAUCAUGGCUCAGAACGAACGCUGGCGGCGUGGAUAAGACAUGCAAGUCGAGCGAGAUUUUUUUCUGUAGCAAUACAGGAAAACGUCUAGCGGCGAACGGGUGCUUAACACGUGGGCAACCUGCCGAGAAGUGGGGGAUAGCUCGCCGAAAGGCGAAUUAAUACCGCAUGUGAUCAGAGUGGACAUCCAUUCGAAAUCAAAGUCGGGGCAACCUGACGCUUCCUGAGGGGCCCGCGGCCUAUCAGCUAGUUGGUGAGGUAACGGCCCACCAAGGCUUUGACGGGUAGCUGGUCUGAGAGGACGACCAGCCACACUGGGACUGAGACACGGCCCAGACACCUACGGGUGGCAGCAGUCGAGAAUUUUUCUCAAUGGGGGAAACCCUGAAGGAGCGACGCCGCGUGGAGGAUGAAGGUCUUCGGGUUGUAAACUCCUGUCAUUUGGGAUCAAGGUGUGCGCGUUAACUGCGCGCGCAUUGAUAGUACCAGAAGAGGAAGAGACGGCUAA
This 521-nucleotide ribosomal RNA is filed under the name uncultured Verrucomicrobiota bacterium. RNAcentral's name for it is "bacterial SSU rRNA". It matches the Rfam family "Bacterial small subunit ribosomal RNA", at positions 1 to 500 of the family's 1533-position model. Lineage: Bacteria; Pseudomonadati; Verrucomicrobiota. The record is from RNAcentral.